Molecule: ribosomal RNA, 214 nt
Filed under: uncultured bacterium
Lineage: Bacteria
Description: partial 16S ribosomal RNA
Rfam family: Bacterial small subunit ribosomal RNA
Source: RNAcentral
CCCACGUUCGGAUCGCAGGCUGCAACCCGCCUGCGUGAAGUUGGAAUCGCUAGUAAUCGCGGAUCAGCAUGCCGCGGUGAAUACGUUCCCGGGCCUUGUACACACCGCCCGUCACACCAUGAGAGUCGGGAACACCCGAAGUCCGUAGCUUAACCGCAAGGGGGCGCGGCCGAAGGUGGGUUCGAUAAUUGGGGUGAAGUCGUAACAAGGUAAC